CCGCCCCGUCCGCGCCCCGCCCCGUCCGCGCCCCUCUUUGCGAGGGCGGGGCGGGGCGGGGCGGCCCGGGCGGCGAGGAGCGCGCGCCGAGGACGGGCUGCCCCUGCCGCCGCCGCCCCUGAUCCCAGAACCGCAGCUCCAAAGUCGGUCCAAGGACGCCACUGCCUGUGCCAGCCCGGUUGCCACACAGAGGGGCCCUUGAACUGCACUCUAGUGACCAACGGCCACCUGGACUGCAGCCUGCCCGUUUGGGCCCUCUGGCAAUUGCGACGACACCCGGCUGGCCCUUGGGCAACCUGGCCCUGCGGAGCCUGGUGUGCCCACGGGAAUCUGGGGGAGCAGUAGGAUUAGGGGACAUUUCUGGGUGGAACUAGGGGUGCUGUGUUGGGUGCCAGGAGCCAUGUGUCACCUCGGUGCCCCUGGUGCAGGGCCAGCAGCUGAUAUCAGGGAAUUGUGUUCCUGUCAGCUCAGAUCGUCAGCCUGGAGGCAUGGGCACAGGAGUGCUGGCUGGGCACCAACUGGCGGUUGGUGGGAGGUGGCUGCCUGCGUGGCCAGAUCACCCUCUAGGGACCCCUAUCGGGUCUCAGCAGGCUGAGGUUGUUAAACCAAGUUCGUUCCCUUUCUGCACAGUCUGGUGGGCUGGGGUCCUGUGUUUGCCGCAUUUCCUAAAUGCCCAUCUACGCCCGAAGCGCCUAAGGGCAUUAGGAGCUCUUAUUAUUGGCUCCUUCGCUCUUUCAGAAGCUGAACUGACCUGUUACCUGUUUGCUGAUAAAUACAAAAGCUUCGCUCUUGAGAUGAAUGGGGAUCCCUGGCACUAAGGGAGGGGGUCCUUGCGGCAGACUCAGUAGCCCAUUCACGGGUGUCCCCAGCUCUCCACGGCAGUGGAGCACUCUGUCCUCACGGCUCUCAGCCCAUCUGGCUGUCAUUUUGUAUCAGUUUAGACCAGGUUGUCUCUCCACUCUCAGAACAGGAGACCGCCUUCCCAGAGGAGGCCUGAGAGCCCCCCAGGGCUGCGGGAUGGGGUUACAGCCUGGGGCAUAUGACGGUGAGACUCUGGGAGAGGAUGGCAAUGUGGGUGGGAGGGCGCCUUCUGGCCAGGGGGCUGCAGGGGCUUGGGUCCCGGGCACGCGUCUCGAAGGGGGCUAGCAGUGCCUUCAGCCGGAGAUCCCCAGACAGUCCCUGCGGGAUGCACAGAAUCCAGUCCUCAACCCAUAGGAAGGGCUGCUUUCCCUUCCGGCCCAGUUCUGCUUACUGGUGUACGACCAGCACCGAGGAUUGGUGUAUGCCUGGCACACACUGGCACUGGGGCUCAACAAAUACUCCUCUCAUGAGCAAAUGCCUCCCCCUUUUACAGGUGGGAAAGUGGGGCUCCAGAGGUGAGAAUCAGCCAGCCAGCCAGCAGGUGACCUGGGGCUGGGGUAGGAGGCCGGCCUCAGUCACUGUACCCCCUGUGCAGCGUGGUGGCCCCGGGAAGGCUGUCCCUUGCUGGGCUGGCUGCCCCGUCACCCUGCCACUGCCCGGCCAUGGUUCUUGAUGAUGCUGCCACAUCCUCAGGCAAAUGGAGAGACUGUUACCAAUUCCGCCUCCUAAGUUCCGUCCUCGUCCUAGGGACAUGUGGAGAGAAAAUGUUGACUUUCCUCCGACAGGAAGGGGAAGGAGGUAGGACUGGGGGCCAGGCAGGGGGCAUAUCAGUCUCAGCAGGCGUGGGUCUGAAACAAAUCCUCAGUAUGUUACUAGAAAGUCUAUUUCGAAAGCUAAUGCUCUUUGCUUCUAGAAGAGAAACACCAGAUAAUUUUGUGGCUGGUGGAGAUACUGAGAAAAGAGAUUUUCUUUGAAGUCAGUGAUUUUCAACUGAGUAGGGACUGACGUGAAUUCCACUUGGGUUGCUGCCAGCAGGUAGUGAAAGAGUCAAGCACGGGAGCGGCAGCAUCCUCUGACCCUCCCCGGGGGCCUGAGUCCCCACAAAACCCCAGGACGGGGUUGGGUGGAUUCCUCGCUGCAUCAGUCCCAUCCGCUGCCAGACACGGGCUGAGAGGCCCCCCAGCAUUUGUGAGACCCAGCCAGGCAGCACAUGACACCGGGUGACACAGUCAGGGCUGAGCCACACCAUCUCCUGAGGUCUACAGGAAGCCCUCAGCUGGGGAGGGUCACUGCUGGGCACUCCCUCAGGCAGGGGAACCGGACAGAGGCUGACCAGUCCACCUGCCUGUCUGUCUUUCGGCCUCCUUCUGCCGGGCCGAGGAGGAGCCCCGUGGUCUUUGUACUUCUCUUGGGUUGGGUGGGCUGUCCAGAGGGAAGGGCCAACACUCUCCAUUUCUGGAAGUAGAGAACAAGCUGGCAUUGUGUGACCCCUCCCUGCCACAUGGGGCAGGGAUGGGCACCCAGCCUUUGAAGUCCAAGAUCUGGCUUCAAAUGCCAAGUUACCCAGCACAUCUGAGACUUGGUUUACGCACCUAUGAAACGGGGACGCUGGUCUCACCCAGUGUGGCCGAGGUGAGAGAGCGCCUGGUCCCAGGCCUGUCCCCAGGUAUGGGGCGCUGAAUACACCUCUUGCUUCAGCGGGGGAAGGACUCUCUCCCUUCAAGCCAGCCAGAAGGGAAGGCCAGGAUGAAAGCCAGGCCAGGGCAUGUCUCGCAGGGCCGGGGCCAGUGAGUACCGGAGCAGCUGAGUGCAGAGCUCCUCGGGGGCAUGCGGGCAGAGCCGGGAAGGGGCACCAGAGUGCCAGCUGCCUUGGGCAGGGCUAGCCGGGCCUGUGUGCCUUCAGACCUCUCCUUGGUGGGUGUGCCACAGGCACUGAUGCCAUCCUUCCACCUGUAAAUAAAGUAGCCUGUGAAUCUUUCAUGGGUUUGUGCUUAAAAAUAGAUGAGGCAAGGCCUCUGGGCCUGAUUCCCAGGAUCUGAGGCAAGCAGUGGCUGGGCCACAAACUCCCCAGGCAGGGAGGGAGGGAGGGCAAGGGCCGUGCUGGCAGGCCAGGGCGCAUGGAGCCGGGACAUGUGGCCCAGCUCGGGCCAAAGCAAAAUCACCAUCUCUAUGUCCCAUCGGAGAUUCUGGGUCACAAGGCUGGGGGCGGGGCUGGGAGGCAGUGACAGAGGAGGCCAAAGAGAAUGACGAAGGGGUGGGGAGAUGCCUCUGCACAGAGCAGGGGAGACGAGGCCCCAGAGGGGUCCAGAGCUGGAGGCCUGGCGGGGAGGCCCUUUCACCCACCCAGACACCACCUCUGCCAGUCCCUCAUGCCCGUGAGGCAGUCUAAGCAAUUGGAUUACAGGCUCAGCCGAGACAGGACCCAGGAGCUGGGGGACAGAGGCUGAAAGGCAGAAAGCAUCAGAGUGGCUGCCGAGUUGAGGCCUGGAGCCCAGUCCCCCAGUGGCCCCGCCAGCCUUCCUGACUGUGACAUUGGCCGCAGCCCCAGGGCUCCUAGGAGUCCUUGGGAAUGGCUUCUCCCAGCUCCCGCUGGGCAGAAGGAGAGGCACACAGGCCCAGAGAGGACACCUUGGGGGCCCAGCCAGCAAUGUGGAGUGGGAGGUGGGCUUGGUGCUGGCACUGGAGCCCAGCGUCAGAGCCAGGCAGCCCUGCCCAGCUCCCCCUGGUGGCUUUGGACCAGCCCUUCCUCUCAGGGCCUCAGUUUCCUUAUCUGUGCAAAGAGGAUGCCGGGAGCCUGGGGCCUGGGGCUGCGUGUGAGAUGCCUGUCAGCUGCUCUUCCUGCCCUGCCGCCGCCUCACCCCUGGCCCAGCUGGCACCCAGGCUCAGUCAGCCGCCCCAGCGCUGCCCAGGCCAGGUGCUGGGCUGCAGGGACUGAGGGCAGACGGGCUGCCCUCCGCCUUGCUGCCUCGCCCCGCCCACCCUGGCUCUGGCUGCUGGAGAGGAGCUGCCUCUCUGAGCCAAGCGACCGCACAGACGCCCCGGCCCUUGUGUCCUCUCAGCACUGGGGAGGGAGGAGGGGGCUCUGCCCCGCUAGCCAGGUCUCUGUCACCCUUGCCCAGAAUACAGCGAAUCCUGCCGCCCGGGAGAACCCCAGGCCGACUGCUCCCACGACCUGACCGUGGGUGGCCGGGCAGGAGGCCCCUCCAUGACGAGGUCUCGCAGGGCCUUUAGCAGCACCUUGGCAGACCCAGUCUGGAGGCUCGGACUCACCGAUUUUUUCACUUUUCCUCGGGGAGGGGGUGCCCCUUGGCAAGAUGAGGCAGCAGGUAGGAGGUGGGGAGCUCAGCUCUGCUGGGGCCUGGGCCUGAGCUCUGUCUGCCUGCCGCUGCUGGCCGGGGACCCUUCCCCUCUGCGGGCCACCGGCCGCUCCUGUCAAGUGGGAAUGAGAAGGCACUUGGGGAGGUGAGGCUCCCACCUGGUUUCCUUCCAGUCCCAGAGCCGUGCUCCUAGGGUGACCCAGGGCCCCCUACACCUACCGGGGCGUCCCUCUGAAAGGCCACAGGCGAGAAUGCAAGUCGCUGCAAUGGGCUGGGUGCAACAUAGGCUGCGCACGGCCUCAGGGACCUCAGAGGCGCUGUUUCAGUCUGUCCUGCCCUCUCCUUGUUCCCAUGGAGACCCUCUCUGGGGGCUGGGGGGUCUGAGCUCUCACCUCUGCCCUUUGUGCAACACGCAUGCACGCUGGCUCAAACGAGAUGGAGCGUUGGACCCAAGGCACUGUGGGGAGUAGCAGCCCCUGAGGGAUGGGGCAGGGAAUCAGAGCCGCUGUAUCCACCACAAACUCAUCACAGCCUCAGGUGGAUUCGUGACCUAAGUAUGACCAAGGAAACUCCCCCAGGAGCAUGGGGCUGUGGUGGGAGCGGAAGCCUGGCAGGUGGACACGAGGGGCCCAGCAGCACAGACCACAGUGGAACUGCCCCUUCCAGAGUGAGCAGAUCCGGUUCUCCGGCCUUUGACCCUUGCCACACCCUUCACCACCCAGAGGCCUGGACAAAUGAGUCCUAAGUCAAGAGAGGAGGAUACUGCCGUCGGAAUGGACGAAGUUCUCAAUGCACUAGCUGCCUGGGGUUCGCCUGCACCCCCAGGCAGGCACAGGAGGGGCACUGCGGUCACAGAUGGGAGGGGCUGUGCUCCGUGGAACCCACACUGCCAAGGCCAGGCGUCAGUCCAGGUCAGGGCCUCCCAAGCGCACAGGCUAACUUACCUGAGCUGCACUGACCAGCCGCAGCGGGGCCUGACCAGCGGUGUGAGGGCCAAGCCCAGGCCCUGUCUUCUCUUCACCGGCUGCAGGGUGUCACUGGGUGGACUUGUCUUCCCAUCACCUUAAUGUGUGAGUGGAGGCCCAGCCCAGCGGGGAAUCGGAUCAGCCUGGCCUACAAGACAAAGCAUGAGAGGCCUGCAGGCUCCCAGCAUCUGGCCCAGCACUACCGACCGCAGGCCACAGGGGUCCAGGAGAGGUGCCAGCCACAUACCACAGGCUGCAGCCCUCUGUGGAGAGCCCGCCUCUGCUGUGGGGAGAGGCGCCUGCCCCCCGGGGGGGCUUGUGAGUGCUAGCCUGCCUGUGGGCCUCCCGCAGAGGAAACUCACCCGCUCAGGCCAAGGCCUUGAGGCAGCACCUUCUCCAGAUCACCCACCAGCGCUAUCUCAAGGACACUGCAGACGUUCGGGCCAACCUCCCCUCCAAGUUUGUCUUGGAGGACUAUUGAGGCCGAGGCCAGGAGUCCCCCCCAAGGGAGCUCAGCCCACCCUGCUGCCGGCUGGAGGCCGGGGCAAGCUGGGGUCCCAGGGCAGGGCUGGUUGAAGCGCUGUCCUGACUCCGCGUGCAGUCACGUCACAGCCAUUGUGCGUUUGCACACAUGCCAGCCGCCCUUUCACAGGGACCCUGACACUGGUCCUUCCCUACCUUGCUCUGCUGCCAUCACCGUGUGCCCCCAGCAUCUCCUAGAACCAGGCCAUCCACCAUGCCCCUGCUUUGGGAUCUAGCCAGCCCUCCCAAGAGACACUGAACAUGCCCCCAAAUACUGGUGUGGUGGCCCUGGUGGGCAUCUUGGUCACAUCGUGAGUAUCCCUCCAAGAUAACUCUGGGGGUGUGCGUAAGCGUUGACGCUCGUGGGGUGGGCUGGCAAGACUCCAUCCCAGACCGAAAGCAAGGAAUCCGAUCCUAGCAGACACACCCGCGUUCACAGCAGCGCCUUCAUCACUGCAGGGCAGGGGAGCAACCUGAGUGUCCACUACGGGUGACGGAGACACACAACGCGGGCCACGCACACUGUGGGUGUUACUCAGCCUUCAAAGGGAAGGGAAUCCUCACAUGAUCCACGGAUGGACCUGGGGACACCGCGCUCCGUGAGACGAGCCCAACACGGAAGGACAGACCCUGUGGGACUCCACUCCCAGGAGGCCCCUGGAGGAUCAGAUCCACAGGGACAGCGAGCAGGUGGGGGGCCAGGGGCUGGGGAGGACAGGGAAGAGUGUUCAGUAGGGACAGAGUCUCAGUUUGGGAAGAUGGAAAGUUCUGGAGACAAUGGGGGACUGGCCGCACAGCAGUGUGAAUGUGCGCAAUGCCCGGAACUGUGCACUUAGGAAUGACUAAGAUGGUAAACUUUGUAUCAUGUUUAUCUUCCUGCAAUAGAAAUAACUAAAAAGCACAGUCCUGGUCCCCUACUCGUGCCCGUGGGUUCCACCUUCCCCCUCCCACCCCUCCCAGCAAGCUCGCAGCAGUUUGGGGUGGGCUGUCCACACCUGCUAAUCUGCUCUGGGGAGUUCCUGAGUCCCGUGGGUGUCGCUGAGGGAUGAGGGGUUAGGACUGAACUGGGGAGGCGGCACAGCCUUUCUGGAAACCCCAGCACCCAGGGGUGCCUGACCUCGCCUUUGCCCAACAUACCUGCUUGUUGACACCCCUCACUAAGUAAACGAGUGGCUCUUUGACCUCUGGGGACAGGCUGUAAGCCCAGCCGGGGUUCCCAUCUAGCACGUCCUCACAUCUGCAGGUGCCACGGCUCGGCCUUUCGUGGACGCUGUCCACACAGCGGCCAGUGACUGCUGUCCUCCGCGGGGCAGCCAGGAGCAGCCCGGGGCUGGGGCUGGUGGGAGGCCACAGUAGGAGCCCUGGGCAGCGCCAGCGGCCCCUCUCCCCUUCCUCCAUGCAGGCACAGGGCGACACAGAGAGGAAGGGAGAGCGCUUCCCACGUCAUCUCCUUGAGAUCUCUAGAGCUCGGCUCUGGAGCCCCCUCCUCCAGGAGGCCCUCCUGGGCUUCCCAGCUCAAGUUCCCCUCCUCUGCCUCUCUGCCUUAGCACCCCCCGUGUGAUCCACAGUCAUGGGUGGCUGGCAUGUGCAGGGCCUGGGGGCAGUCACACUUCCACCCUGACCACUGCCUCUUGGAGACUAAUUGAACCCGCCGAACCCCAGAGCGCCAGGAAAUCCCCAUCUGAUGCUCUGGCCAGACUCCCUCCCUCCCUCCUCCCCCUGUUCAAGCUCAUUCGGUCUCCAAAUCCAGGAGUCCUUGGCCCUCUGGGACACCCCCUCUCUGGGAAAGUUAAGUGAAGGCUCUGGGCACCCUCACCAGGGCCCAAGGCGCUGCCAGGGGUUCUGGGCUGAGAGGUGAGGUGGGAGCAGCCCAUCUCAGCUCACUGUGUGCUGAGGGCACCUCCCUCAGGGGGCACAGGUGCAGGGACUCAGGAUCCUGGGGCCAUCUGUCCCGGGGAGCAUGGACAGGCCAGCCGGCAGCGGCUGCUCUUCGCAAGUCCCCAGAGCCCUGGAAGGGCUGGGCAAGACUCAGACUGGCCACAUCCCCCAGGGCACCACCCCCUUCACGUGUACCCCUGCAUCUUUCCCUAGAGGGUGAACCCCAGACCUCUUGGCACCCUCUGCAGUUUGGGCUCUGCUCGCCCACCGCGUCACCUUGUCACCUGCCCAUGCCCCUGCCUCCACCAUGUCACUGGACGCUUUCUCUGCCCACCUCCACGAGGCCACCUGCUGCCUCUGCCUGUGGGCCCUUCCUUGCCAGGAGGAGUCCUGUCCAUCUGUGGGGAAAACGGAAGUUCCUGUGGCCAGGAUCCUCACCUGCCCCUGGACUGCUUGAUGAUGGAGCUGGC
Long non-coding RNA from Manis pentadactyla (Chinese pangolin), 8013 nucleotides. RefSeq lists it as uncharacterized. The transcript is spliced from 3 exons. Lineage: Eukaryota; Metazoa; Chordata; Mammalia; Pholidota; Manidae. The record is from RefSeq and is a predicted model, not a curated record.